CCAACGGCUCUUUUAAGAGCCACCCACGAUGUCUCAAAAGAGUUAG
This is a non-coding RNA of Danio rerio (zebrafish), 46 nucleotides long. NCBI's taxonomy places the organism in Eukaryota, Metazoa, Chordata, Actinopteri, Cypriniformes, Danionidae. The record is from Rfam.